RNAcentral lists this transfer RNA (86 nucleotides) under Bacillota bacterium. RNAcentral's name for it is "tRNA-Leu". It matches the Rfam family "tRNA". Rfam says of the family: Transfer RNA (tRNA) molecules are approximately 80 nucleotides in length. Their secondary structure includes four short double-helical elements and three loops (D, anti-codon, and T loops). Further hydrogen bonds mediate the characteristic L-shaped molecular structure. tRNAs have two regions of fundamental functional importance: the anti-codon, which is responsible for specific mRNA codon recognition, and the 3' end, to which the tRNAs corresponding amino acid is attached (by aminoacyl-tRNA synthetases). tRNAs cope with the degeneracy of the genetic code in two manners: having more than one tRNA (with a specific anti-codon) for a particular amino acid; and 'wobble' base-pairing, i.e. permitting non-standard base-pairing at the 3rd anti-codon position. The record is from RNAcentral. Lineage: Bacteria; Bacillati; Bacillota. RNAcentral also lists the same sequence under 2 other names.
GCAACCAUGGCGGAAUAGGUAGACGCGUACGUUUGAGGGGCGUAUAGGUAACCCCUGUGAGAGUUCGAUUCUCUCUGGUUGCACCA